UAGAUUAAAGUCCGCUGGAUUGGGCGUUUAGUUGUUAACUAAGUGGUUACGGGAUCGAGGCCCGUUGAUCUAGU
This 74-nucleotide transfer RNA is filed under the name Gonatodes alexandermendesi. RNAcentral describes it as "tRNA-Asn". The record is from RNAcentral. Lineage: Eukaryota; Metazoa; Chordata; Lepidosauria; Squamata; Sphaerodactylidae.